AAUCAACGCUGGCGGCGUGCCUCAGACAUGCAAGUCGAACGCGAAAGUCCCCUUCGGGGGGACAAGUAGAGUGGCGCACGGGUGAGUAACACGUAGGUAAUCUACCUUUGGAUGGGGAAUAACAACCGGAAACGGUUGCUAAUACCGCAUAAUGCAGCGGCACCUAAUGGUGACAGUUGUUAAAGCGGGGGAUCGAAAGACCUCGCGUCUGAAGAGGAGCCUGCGGCGGAUUAGCUAGUGGUAAGGUAAUGGCUUACCAAGGCUACGAUCCGUAACCGGCCUGAGAGGGGCGGUCGGUCACACUGACACUGACAUACGGGUCAGACUCCGUACGGGAGGCAGCAGGUCGGGGUAAUUUUGGGCAAUGGGCGAAAGCCUGACCCAGCAACGCCGCGUGAAGGAUAGAAA
This 408-nucleotide ribosomal RNA is filed under the name uncultured bacterium. RNAcentral's name for it is "bacterial SSU rRNA". It matches the Rfam family "Bacterial small subunit ribosomal RNA", at positions 32 to 414 of the family's 1533-position model. The record is from RNAcentral.